Molecule: ribosomal RNA, 1806 nt
Filed under: groundwater metagenome
Description: bacterial LSU rRNA
Rfam family: Bacterial large subunit ribosomal RNA
Source: RNAcentral
UAAUAGCUUACUGGUCGAGCAUUCUCGCGCCGAUAAUUAACGGGAAUAAGGCUUAAACCGAAGACGUAUCAUGUACCCGCCUGUGCGCGGGUACUUGGGUAGGGGAGCGCUCCAUAGGAGAUACAAGCGGGUUCGAAAGGACCCGUGGCGGCCUAUGGAGGUGAUUCUGCGGACACGAGUAGCGAUAAAGGGGGUGAGAAGCCCCCUCCCCGUAAGCAUAAGGUUUCCUGGGCCAGGUAACUCCGCCCAGGGUUAGUCGGGACCUAAGGCGAGGCCGAGAGGCGUAGCCGAUGGAAAGCCGGUUAAUAUUCCAGCACCACCAGAAAGCGUUGAAACUCAGCAUAACUCAGGUAGCCAAGGUCGGGGAAGCCUUUAGCUGGCUCCUCCAAGCGCAAACGACGUUGAAGGGCGGUGAAAACGCCCCGAGUCCGAAGCGCGAGUGCAAUCCGUGUGAAAACGGAGAAGCGAUCACAGCUAUACUGACGAGAAAAGUGCUGUGCCACAUAGCCCAAUGGUGCCCGUACCUCAAACUGACACUGGUAUGCGAGGCGAGUAGCCUAAGGGGCUCGAGAUAACUCUCGUGAAGGAACUCGGCAAAAUUGCUUCGUAACUUCGGGAGAAGAAGCGCCUGUGUAGGGGUGUUAAAGCCCCGAAAGGCCGCAGAGAAAUGGCCCAAGGAACUGUUUAUCAAAAACACAGGACUGCGCAAAGUCUUAAAGACGACGUAUGCAGUCUGACGCCUGCUCUGUGCCGGAAGGUUAAGGGAAGAUGUCAGGGGGUUCGCCUCCAAAGCAUUGAACCGAAGCCCCGGUUAACGGCGGCCGUAACUAUGACGGUCCUAAGGUAGCGAAAUUCCUUGUCGGGUAAGUUCCGACCUGCAUGAAUGGCGUAAUAACAGGGGUACUGUCUCCACGAGAGGCUCGGCGAAACUGUAGCAGUGGUGAAGAUGCCACUUACCCGCGACUAGACGGAAAGACCCUGUGGACCUUUACUGUACUCUACUAUUGGGUUUUUGUGCUCAUUGCGUAGGAUAGGUGGGAGACUUCGAAGUUCCGUUCUCGGACGGAAUGGAGUCACCGGUGAAAUACCACCCUUUGUGUAUGAAAAUUCUAACUCGGCUCCGUAAUCCGGACUGAGGACCGUGGUAGACGGGCAGUUUGACUGGGGCGGUCCCCUCCUAAAGAGUAACGGAGGGGCCCUAAGGCACGCUCAGCACGGUUGGCAAUCGUGCGUCGAGUGCAAGGGCAUAAGCGUGCUUAACUGCGAGAGAAAAACCUCAAGCAGAUACGAAAGUAGGGCUUAGUGAUCCGGCGGUGCAGUGUGGAAUGGCCGUCGCUCAACUGAUAAAAGGUACCCCGGGGAUAACAGGCUGAUCUCCCCCAAGCGUCCAUAGCGACGGGGAGGUUUGGCACCUCGAUGUCGACUCAUCGCAUCCUGGAGCUGCAAUCGGUUCCAAGGGUUCGGCUGUUCGCCGAUUAAAGCGGUACGUGAGUUGGGUUCAGACCGACGUGAGUCAGGUCGGUCCCUAUCUACAGUGGGCGUCGGAGAGUUGAGGAGAACUGGACCUAGUACGAGAGGAUUGGUUCGGACGCACCCCUGGUGUUCCAGUUGGCCCGACAGGGCCAUCGCUGGGUAGCUACGUGCGGACAGGAUAAGCGCUGAAAGCAUCUAAGCGCGAAGCCCACUCCAAGAUGAACUCUCCCUAUCAGGCUCGUUGGAGACUACAACGUUAAUAGGCCGGAGGUGUACGUGCAUAUAUUUAAAAGCACUCAGCUUACCGGUACUAAUCAGCCGAUUGACUUGACC